UCAAACCUGAGAGUUUGAUCCUGGCUCAGAACGAACGCUGGCGGCAGGCUUAACACAUGCAAGUCGAA
RNAcentral lists this ribosomal RNA (68 nucleotides) under Aureimonas jatrophae. Its description in RNAcentral is "16S rRNA. Bacterial SSU". It matches the Rfam family "Bacterial small subunit ribosomal RNA", at positions 1 to 66 of the family's 1533-position model. Lineage: Bacteria; Pseudomonadati; Pseudomonadota; Alphaproteobacteria; Hyphomicrobiales; Aurantimonadaceae. The record is from RNAcentral.